CUAAGAAUAUUCCGCAAUGGACGGAAGUCUGACGGAGCGACGCCGCGUGGAUGACGAAGGCCGAAAGGUUGUAAAGUUCUUUUGCUGGGGAAGAAUAACCGCAGGAGGGAAUGCCUGUGGGAUGACAAGAACCGGCGAAUAAGCCCCGGCCAACUACGUGCCAGCAGCCGCGGUAACACGUAGGGGGCGAGCGUUGUUCGGAAUUACUGGGCGUAAAGGGCAUGUAGGCGGCUUGGAAAGCCUGGCGUGAAAGUCUGCAGCUUAACUGCAGGGGUGCGCUGGGAACUGCUGAGCUUGAGUGACGGAGAGGGAGCUGGAAUUCCUGGUGUAGGGGUGAAAUCUGUAGAUAUCAGGAAGAACACCGAUGGCGAAGGCAAGCUCCUGGCCGAUGACUGACGCUGAGGUGCGAAAGUGUGGGGAUCAAACAGGAUUAGAUACCCUGGUAGUCCACACAGUCAACGAUGUGCACUAGGUGCUGGGGCGGUAGCUUCGGUGCCGGAGCGAACGUGGUAAGUGCACCGCCUGGGGAGUAUGCUCGCAAGGGUGAAACUUAAAUGAAUUGACGGGGUCAUAGCUGUUUCCU
Molecule: ribosomal RNA, 583 nt
Filed under: uncultured bacterium
Lineage: Bacteria
Description: partial 16S ribosomal RNA
Rfam family: Bacterial small subunit ribosomal RNA
Source: RNAcentral